GACGAACGCUGGCGGCGUGCUUAACACAUGCAAGUCGAACGGAAAGGUCCUGCUUUUGUGGGGUGCUCGAGUGGCGAACGGGUGAGUAACACGUGAGUAACCUGCCCUUGACUUUGGGAUAACUUCAGGAAACUGGGGCUAAUACCGGAUAGGAGCUCCUGCUGCAUGGUGGGGGUUGGAAAGUUUCGGCGGUUGGGGAUGGACUCGCGGCUUAUCAGCUCGUUGGUGGGGUAGUGGCUUACCAAGGCUUUGACGGGUAGCCGGCCUGGGAGGGUGACCGGCCACAUUGGGACUGAGAUACGGCCCAGACUCCUACGGGAGGCAGCAGUGGGGAAUAUUGCACUAUGGGCGGAAGCCUGAUGCAGCAACGCCGCGUGCGGGAUGACGGCCUUCGGGUUGUAAACCGCUUUCGCCUGUGACGAAGCGUGAGUGACGGUAAUGGGUAAAGAAGCACCGGCUAACUACGUG
This 468-nucleotide ribosomal RNA is filed under the name uncultured bacterium. RNAcentral describes it as "partial 16S ribosomal RNA". It matches the Rfam family "Bacterial small subunit ribosomal RNA", at positions 28 to 507 of the family's 1533-position model. The record is from RNAcentral.